This 370-nucleotide ribosomal RNA is filed under the name uncultured organism. RNAcentral's name for it is "bacterial SSU rRNA". It matches the Rfam family "Bacterial small subunit ribosomal RNA", at positions 526 to 896 of the family's 1533-position model. The record is from RNAcentral.
CGUAGGGUGCAAGCGUUAAUCGGAAUUACUGGGCGUAAAGCGUGCGCAGGCGGUUUUAUAAGUCUGAUGUGAAAUCCCCGGGCUCAACCUGGGAACUGCAUUGGAGACUGUAAGGCUAGAGUGUGUCAGAGGGGGGUAGAAUUCCACGUGUAGCAGUGAAAUGCGUAGAUAUGUGGAGGAAUACCGAUGGCGAAGGCAGCCCCCUGGGAUAACACUGACGCUCAUGCACGAAAGCGUGGGGAGCAAACAGGAUUAGAUACCCCGGUAGUCCACGCCCUAAACGAUGUCUACUAGUUGUCGGGUCUUAAUUGACUUGGUAACGCAGCUAACGCGUGAAGUAGACCGCCUGGGGAGUACGGUCGCAAGAUUA